CCUGGCGGCCAUAGCGCGGUGGACCCACCUGAACCCAUGCCGAACUCAGAAGUGAAACGCCGUAGCGCCGAUGGUAGUAUGGGGUCUCCCCAUGCGAGAGUAGGACACUGCCAGGC
Molecule: ribosomal RNA, 116 nt
Filed under: Yersinia enterocolitica
Lineage: Bacteria; Pseudomonadati; Pseudomonadota; Gammaproteobacteria; Enterobacterales; Yersiniaceae
Source: RNAcentral